Paramuricea clavata is the source of this 1004-nucleotide non-coding RNA. The record is from the annotation of a GenBank genome assembly. Lineage: Eukaryota; Metazoa; Cnidaria; Anthozoa; Malacalcyonacea; Plexauridae.
CUCUCUAUACACACAAUAACUUGUUUUCUUUAUAUAUUAAAACUUGCUUGCCUGCUUAACUUGCUUGCUUAUUUAUUACACUUAUACAGCCGACUUACUUCCACUAUAGUCUAUUCAACGGAAUUUCGUUAACUGGCGGCUUAUUGUUUGCUGGGAAAUAUUUUUUCUUGAGCAAUUGAUAAUUUCUUUGUGUGAAUACAAACGCAAUACCAAUGUAGGCACCAGUAAGCAACGUUACAGUAUACAACGCUAUCUUUAUCUCGAAAUCAAAAUCCAUGAUUCUAGAUAUGAAGGGAGGAAACCAAUAACUAAUUAAGGCUGUAGUAGUUGACAGCUUGAGCAAUAUUACAAAUUUACGACGUUUAACAAUAUUCGAUAUCUGUGCAAUGUUCCUGCUUGCCUUGAGUAUUUGGCGAAUUCGAUAAGCAGUGAGGAUGAACAUUCCAAUAAUGUACAACAAAAGACAACCUUGAAGGCCAUAUACAUCAACAGCAGCUGACCAAUCGGGAGUAAUUCGAGCAUUGAUACAAUCUCCACGAUGAUUAUGGCGUGCUGUAAGGAGCUCUGGUCCACGAUGAUUAUGGCGUGCUGUAAGGAGCUCUGUGAUGAGCUCUCUGAUAAAACCGAUAUCUUUCUGAAUUUAUCGACAGCGAGUUUGAUGGGUUUCUUCGGCCAAAAGAAAAACAAAUUAACAUGGAGUGGAACCCUGAAUGACUUAAAAACAUUUGUGUCAACAAUAAUCGAUGAAAAAGCCGCAGAAAGCGCCGUCUGGCGUCACCAAGCGGCGGCAAGUGGUGUUUCACCUGCGAAGACCUUGAGAUUACGUGGCACUCGAAGAGUGGAGCAAUAAUUUUUGACGGAGUCAAAGCGGGAAAUUUGGUAAAGCGAAUAAAAGAUAUCCUCUCAAAGCCAGACGACGUGGAGAAGACUAUCAACAAAGAUCUUAACAUGGAAGCGAAUACUGAUCGAGGUUCGUCACGCAUCAUUGAAAACGAGGUAUCUAG